AACGCACCUUGCACUCCUUGGUAUUCCGAGGAGUAUGCCUGUUUGAGUGUCAUGAAAUUAUCAAACCUCAUAGUUAUUUUUUUAAUUACUUUGAGGCUUGGAUUUGGAAGUUGCUGGCAAAUGUCGGCUCUUCUUAAAUAAAUUAGCUGCUUGUCCGUGAGUUGGCUCAGAGUGUGAUAAGUAUCUACACUUGGUGGCUGCUCGCAUUGGAUGUGGCUUCUAAUCGUCUCUUGAGACAACUUUUUAAGAUCUGACCUCAAAUCAGGUAGGACUACCCGCUGAACUUAA
RNAcentral lists this unclassified non-coding RNA (288 nucleotides) under uncultured fungus. Its description in RNAcentral is "sequence contains ITS2". The stretch from base 1 to 52 matches the Rfam family "5.8S ribosomal RNA", at positions 103 to 154 of the family's 154-position model. The record is from RNAcentral. Lineage: Eukaryota; Fungi.